CCACAGCAACCAGCACCACCACCCAGGCCUCCUAAGCAUUUACCCAAGGAUUUCAAGCCACUUCCUCCCGAACCAAGUCGUAGCCAAAGUCCCUCAGAACCCAACAAAUUGUUGAACUCUAGAAAAAGUCCAGUGACAACUCAGAGUGGCAAUGGCACAGUAUCUCCUUGGAAGAAUACAAAUGACGAGAUAAUACCAAGAAAGGGCAUUCAUUUUAGAUGUCAGCCUGACAUUCCUUCACCAACCAAAGACCUUCAUCCACCAACCAGGAAUCCGCCCCCACCAUACAGAGACCCGCCGCUACCGAGCAGAGACCCGCCGCUACCGAACAGAGACCCGCCCCUACCGAACAGAGACCCGCCGCUACCGAACAGAGACCCGCCGCUAC
Callorhinchus milii (elephant shark) is the source of this 388-nucleotide long non-coding RNA. RefSeq lists it as uncharacterized. The record is from RefSeq and is a predicted model, not a curated record. NCBI's taxonomy places the organism in Eukaryota, Metazoa, Chordata, Chondrichthyes, Chimaeriformes, Callorhinchidae. The transcript is spliced from 5 exons.